GACGAACGCUGGCGGCGUGCUUAACACAUGCAAGUCGAACGGAAAGGCCCUGCUUUUGUGGGGUGCUCGAGUGGCGAACGGGUGAGUAACACGUGAGUAACCCGUCCCUGACUUUGGGAUAACUUCAGGAAACUGGGGCUAAUACCGGAUAGGAGCUACUGCUGCAUGGUGGGGGUUGGAAAGUUUCGGCGGUUGGGGAUGGACUCGCGGCUUAUCAGCUUGUUGGUGGGGUAGUGGCUUACCAAGGCUAUGACGGGUAGCCGGCCUGAGAGGGUGACCGGCCACAUGAGGACUGAGAUACGGCCCAGACUCCUACGGGAGGCAACAGUGGGGAAUAUUGCACAAUGAGCGGAAGCCUGAUGCAGCAGCGCCGCGUUCGUGAUGACGUCCUACGAGUUGUAAACCGCUUUCGCCUGUGACGAAGCGUGAGUGACGGUAAUGGGUAAAAAAGCACCGGCUAACUACGUG
RNAcentral lists this ribosomal RNA (468 nucleotides) under uncultured bacterium. Its description in RNAcentral is "partial 16S ribosomal RNA". It matches the Rfam family "Bacterial small subunit ribosomal RNA", at positions 28 to 507 of the family's 1533-position model. The record is from RNAcentral.